UUUUUAUAGCCACUUUACGUCUGUCUCGAUACUUCAGGAGAAGUUAGGUAUAGAGCCUAGAGUACACAAGUAGAAUUUUGCUUGAUGGUACUAUACUUUGUAUUGUAUUAUAUUUGUAUUGUAUUAUAUUGCUUGCAUUCCCUGUUUAAUAUAUUCCAAUAUUUUAUGUAGCUGUCAUACUAUCAACUUCAACAGAAUAAUCUGUACUAGGAAGUAGUAAAAGUUUUGGGUCGGUUUUCUUUUUUAAUUUCCUUUCCCCCAGAGCAGAAAUAAAGAUCGAAAAAAGGAAAAUGGAUGACUUUUUGGCCCAACUGUAAGCAAAAUACGGGAGAAAUGCUAAAAAAGGAGAAAAGACGACUGCAGCCAAGAAAGGAAAGAAAUAAAGAACUGUGUAGGCUGAGAUACCAGGUGUUCCUUUACAAAGGAGAGCUGCACCUCAUCCCGCUGUCAGAGACCCAGGAGCAGGAAUGUGACCUAUCUGCCACCACUCUGACAGUCUCGCAGGCGGUGACGCUGUUGUCCACCUGUUCAGAGGAGUUCCUGGCUGCAGAGCCCAUCCCAACAGCAGUGUAGAAGCGCAUCAGUGGGUAUCCUGAGAAAAUUCAGGCCUCAUUUCACC
Long non-coding RNA from Tyto alba (common barn owl), 619 nucleotides. RefSeq lists it as uncharacterized. Lineage: Eukaryota; Metazoa; Chordata; Aves; Strigiformes; Tytonidae. The transcript is spliced from 3 exons. The record is from RefSeq and is a predicted model, not a curated record.